Brassica napus (rape) is the source of this 90-nucleotide non-coding RNA. The record is from Rfam. NCBI's taxonomy places the organism in Eukaryota, Viridiplantae, Streptophyta, Magnoliopsida, Brassicales, Brassicaceae.
UUGAGCCGGUGAUGAUUGAAAAAGUUUGCCUACAUUGUUUGAUUUACCAUGAAAUGGAAACUUGAAUCUUAUAUUCACUCUGAGGCUCAU